This 279-nucleotide unclassified non-coding RNA is filed under the name Glomeraceae sp. RNAcentral's name for it is "partial contains 5.8S ribosomal RNA and internal transcribed spacer 2". The stretch from base 1 to 65 matches the Rfam family "5.8S ribosomal RNA", at positions 84 to 154 of the family's 154-position model. The record is from RNAcentral. Lineage: Eukaryota; Fungi; Glomeromycota; Glomeromycetes; Glomerales; Glomeraceae.
GUGAAUCAUCAAAUUUUUGAACGCAAAUUGCACUCUCUUCAGAGAGUAUGCCUGUUUGAGGGUCAGUAUUAAUAAAAAUCGGUGUGUCGUCUCUUUGUGACGCUCCGGUGUUUGGGUCAUCUUAAUAUCCUUUAGGUUUUAAGUGGUUUAGAAUUGACUUUUUUUGCGCAUUUUUCGACGUACUUAAAUUUUUUUUUAUUCGUCUAUUUUUAAUGCCAAAAUCUUAUUAGAUGCGAUCACAUCGUGUGGUUUCGUGUCCAUAAAAUUUUCAUGAUUUGA